Molecule: non-coding RNA, 91 nt
Organism: Helianthus annuus (common sunflower)
Lineage: Eukaryota; Viridiplantae; Streptophyta; Magnoliopsida; Asterales; Asteraceae
Source: Rfam
GUGUCCCUUAGGGAUCCUCCGAACACUUCAUUGGGAUAUUUUAUUAAUUAAGACUUCCUACUGAAGUGUUUGGGGGAACUCCAAGUGCCAC